AUCCAUGAAACACCCCCUCUGCCAUCUCCGUCCCUGAAACACCCCCUCUGCCAUCUCCAUCCCUGAAACACCCCCUCUGCCUUCUCCAUCCCUGAAACACCCCCUCUGCCAUCUCCAUCCAGGAAACACCCCCUCUGCCAUCUCCAUCCCUGAAACACCCCCUCUGCCAUCUCCAUCCAGGAAACACACCCUGCUUCAUUUUAUCAAGAGGUUGACAUGUUCAAGAGGGUAUGUUAUUCUAUUUUACUGAUAGAGCAAGCAUAUACAUUAAUCUUAUAAACCCUGCUGUAAAUUAUUAUAAUAUAUUAAGUUUUUAUAUCUAUAUUUUUUAUUAAAAUAUUUUAAAAGACAAAACUAUUGCUUCCAAGGCAAUCCCUUUUUAAAAAUUGUAUUCUCAAUUAUUUAUAUAUGUUAAAUAGAGGAACUCUUACUAACUAUAUAAAAUUAUAGCUAAGAUAUUCGGUAAGCCCUGCUAGAUUCUAUGCUUGAAGACCUUAUAGAGUUAAAUAAGGGAACUAGAUGCAGUUACACUAUGCUUUGAUUCAUGACAUACAAGGGAUCCAGCCCGGACUGGCUAUCAGGCAAAUGCCCAGUGGGCUGUGAUGGGCCAAGGCCAGCAUAAGAGAUCAAAUCGCCGGCCCUACUGUGUGCCAUGAAGGGUCAGUGCGGGCCAAAAGGCACUGAAAAUCCAGGGCAGGAGAAAGGAGGACUUGGGGGCUCUAACCUGCUACUUCGCCGGGUUCCUCUCACAAACCUGGUGCAUUGCUGCGUUUACCAUAGCCAGGGCCGUCUUUAACCCCUUAAGGACACAUGACAUGUGUGACAUGUCAUGAUUCCCUUUUAUUCCAGAAGUUUGGUCCUUAAAGGUUAAAGGGGGGCAAAAAGGGCAGCUGCCCUGGGGGCCCAAAGUAGUUGCCCUGUGGGACCCCUGCCGGCAUCCAAACCCUGUGGACUGCAGCACCUGAUGUUGCCUGCUGGGAGGAAGUGAGGUGAUAUAACAAGUAACAGAAUGCCGAUGGGGAGGCGGAGGAAGCAUACACAGGAGGAGGAAAGGGACUGAGGAAGUCAGACUCCCAUCAGCCUUGGCCAUCCAGCUCACACUGGACCCCAGGGAAGCCAACCUUUUGUACCCAAAAAGGAAGGAGAAAAGAGGGUGGCUAAAAUAUGAUGUAAAUUGAUAUAUGUGUGUGUACCUGGGUCUGAGUCAUUGCUUCUAGCUAUAUGUGUCUCAAUGUGUGUAUUUGGCUGUGUGUAUGUCAGUGUGUGUAUCUGGCUGUGUGUAUGUACAUCUAUGUGUAUGUGUAUCUGUAUGAAUGCAUACCUGUGUAUGUGUACUUGUGUGACAAAGUGUGUGUAUUUCUGAGCAUAUGUGUGUGUGUGUGUGUCAGUAUGUGUAAGUGUGUAUCUAUGUGUGUGGCAAUGCAUUCAUCCCAGCAUUCUAAUGCCAACACUGCACACACAUACGCUAACCCUGCACACAAAUACACCCCAGUGUUUCAACAACAUUGCACACAAAUACACCACUGCAUAUGUGUCUGUGUUCCUGUGUGUAUCUCAGUGUUUGUGUAAGUGUGCAUCUGUGUGUUUGUGGCAAUGCAUACAUCCCAGCAUUCCAACGCCAACACUGCACACAAAUACACCCCUGCAUGUAAACCUGUGUGUACAUAUCUGUGACAGUGUGUAUCUCUGUGUGUGGAUGUGCCAGUGUGUGUAUUUGUGUGUGUUUUUCAACCGUGUCUCUGUGUCAAAGUGUCUAUCUGAGUGUGUGCAUGUGCUAGUGUGUGUGUAUAUGCCAGUGUGUUUGUGUUAGUGUGUAUCUGUGUGUUAAGAUGUGUGCAUGUGAAGCCCGACACUUAGACUACUGUGGCUGAACUAUAGCGGCCCGCUUUAACUUUUCCUACCCACGUUAGCCUACUCUCACAUAACUUAACAGUCAUACGAGUUUAACGAUACAUGUCAGUCAGUUCCAUUGUGCACCUAUAUAUUAGCCGUAUCAUCCAGCAUACACCAUAUCAUAACCAGCAGGCCCACCAUAAUAUGUAUUUCUGGGGCACAACACAGCUAAUGUAUUUUUAAUUUUACUUUUGCUUUAUUCGCAACUCACGAGCCCACUGAGUCCGCCAUGACCACUCACAUACGCCAUAUGUAUCAAAAAAGCCUGCUACUACACAUAACCAUGGCACGUAGGAACGUCAGGCAUGCCACUGUCUCUGCAUUUAAAUGCAUAUGUUCAACUCUCACAUACAUGUUAUAAUUAACGCACACAGCUGAUACCUUGCUAUUAGAACAUAAUCUUUUCACACUACAUGCCGUUUAUGCUUCCGAAUACUAGUUUAACUUUAAACCUAAGACAUACAGGCUUAGCACAAAGAAUAUGGCAAAUUCAUAAUUGUAUUUUUACUACUGUCUAGACUGUGUCUUUUACAGUGUGAGCUGCCUAUAUUAUGUUUUUAUCAACAUUUGAGAUGCAGCCUAUACUAUGCAAUCUGACGUUUGUGUUAGCAUUAACUCAGAAGCUACCUACUGCAUGAUUAAGUUUUCUUAUGUUAACCAACAUGUUUCUUCACAAUGUUUUCUCACAAAAAAAAAAAAAUGUGCUGUCACUCGAAAUGCCAUACUGGUACUCACCAAUAAUUGUUAUAACUGAGCUUGUGGACGCUACUGUGGCCAGACAAGCAUGUACAGUAAAUCUGAGCACAACAAAAUAAAGAAUUAAAAAAAAAUAAUAAAAUACAUAUAUUUUAAGCCUAAUUGUGAAUGUUCGUAUUGUAAAAUACUAAAGAUAAGAUGGAUGGUUAGUACUGUUUGGAUAUUUGCUCUUUAUUCUAGAUACUGCAGCAGAGUAUAAUGUAAUCCCAUCGAAAAAAGAAACCAUAACAGUAGCCUGGUAACAGUAGCACCAAUUAGCAUACAGUAUAAUCCAUAUAGGUGUAGUGUUCCUUGACUCCUCCUCUUUCUUGCUGCUCCCUCAGACAAGUUAAGUACCUCAUCUUGCUACUCCUGUGAUAUUUUAUACAUUUAUUUGUAUUUAAUUCCUACACAUUAAUUGGAUGUUCAUUAGAUUGGGCAUUAUUAUUUUAUUGUCAUAGUAUUGUUAUGUUAUUCCUGUCUUCUGUAGUGUAUACCCUUCUGGUGUCAGAGAGUGCUUCCUAUCUGCUAUCAGGGGAGUGAUCCCUCCCUGCCCUCACCUAAUUGUUUUCCCUGUUGGGUAACUGGGGCUAUUCUUCUGGCUUCUGGUGCUUGCCUUUGCACCUCCGGUUUAUGCCCGCGGUCUUCCCGCGUUUUUUCAGGCGGCCGCGCAUGCGCGUCCAUUGAAUUUCAUUUCCCCCUUGCGGUCCGGUCGUGCAUGCGCAGUUGGUAGCGCGGCGGCCAUCUUUUUGGUUUAUGUCGCCGGGAGUGUAACUUACACUCGCGGCGGCCAUUUUAAACGCGGUUUCGGCGGGAAUCUGCUGUGUACAAGCUUACACUCAUACCGGCUUCUCCUACCCGCCCAAGCACUCUCCUAAGACCCAGACUGGGAUAUUAUUGCAGGUUCUUUUUCUUGUACUGAUUUCUACCAAACUGUAAGUGUGGUGUGGAGGAUUAAUCUAUCCUGACACCCUUUUUUCUGUUUUCUCUCAAGCUAGUUUUCCUUUACAGGCUACAACACUCUGCUCUUAGUAGUGCUAGGUACCAAGUGUAUAAUUGAUUUUACUGGGCCCAAUAUUUUCCACUAGUUGAACUAGGGUUUAUAUAUUCCCUAUAAAGAUUUUAUCUGCUAUGCAGGAUCAGAGUGACAGACCUUCAGGGUCUAUGUGCCCCACACCAGGCGUUUCCCCCCCUAAUAAGGGAGGUAAAAGUGACGCCAGCCUCAUGACAUCGGAGGAGUUUCAAUCCUUCCUGGACGCUACCAUGGCACAAUCCAUUAACAGAGCUUUAAUCUCUGCGAUGGGGGUCAUGUCGUCCUCUAUCACUCAGUCUUUUACAGAGGCACUGAUACAGACACAGACUAGUGGCAUGCAGAACACACGCAACCCGGUACCCACUAAAAUGGCACAACCGGGACGUAAGGCGUUGGCAAAGAGCAGACAUGUGACCUCCCCUUCAGAACUGCAGGUUCAGCCUGCAUCGAAUGGCACGCCUCAGGCUGUCAAAGAUGGCGCGAUACCACCGCGCACUAGAGCCCCUGGCCGGGCAAAAUCGACCAGAACUUGGAAACGGGCACGUGCCCAUGGGGAUUCGUCCGAUUCGGACUGGAGUGUGGAGGAGGAGUAUGAGGACUCCUAUAUGGACCACUACAGUGCGGAAUUUUCAGAUUCCGGGUCUGACACCCAACCAGGCGUUGCUACCCAAAAGAAUACGGCUCAGGGCGCUGCGCCUCCUGACUCUGGCGAGGGCGACCAUUUGCGGGACCCACUGGGUAACCCAUUAUUUGACCCAGAUGACCUUCGUCAUCCUCGCUCGGCAGCAUGGGAGCCGCCUACUUACAUCGCUAAGUAUCUCGCACUUCGGGUGCGCAAGCCUUUAUCUAAGGAAGGGCGCAAUAAGUUACGGGCAGAAUGCCCACUACCCAUCCUUCCAGACUCGGUGGAAAAAACACCGGACGUGGACCCUCAGUUGGUCUAAUUCUUGAACAAGUCUGGUUGGAAACCAAGGAAGGGAUUAGAUUUUUCCCUCCGAAAUUGCCAAGACAAAUUUCUUGAUACAUUGGGACCCAUAACUAAACUAUAUGAGCUAGUGGAGUCCGCCCAAUCGGGCGAAAGCGAAUUUAAUUUCGAAGUAGCGAUAGGCUGGUUGCAGAGAUUAGUCUGCAUGGUAGGUAACGCCAAUACGGCUAUGGCUACCGAACGCCGCAAGGCGAUUCUCCUAAAAAUAGAGCCCAGCAUGGCGACCAACGAGCCGGGCCCAGCGGCUAAAGGCUUACUAUUUGGUGAAUCCUUUAUUAAGGAUCUUGGGCUGUACGUUAAGACGUUUACAGCAAUUGAUAAAGUUCAGACAUCCUCUUAAGAGAGUAUUUGCACCACAGGUUUUUGGAGGGGCCGGCAGAGGAAGGAGCCGUCUACCCGGCCGUGGAUUUCGAGGCUCAACUAGAGCCAGCAGAGGCUCCUUUCAUAGCCAGAGACCAGUACCAGAGAGACACUAUACCCCUUUCUUCCCAUCUCGGGGACGGCCCUGGAAUUCCCGUGGACCACGGGGGUCUGUUUCAAGCAGACGACCUUAUGGUGAGUACCGAAUAUCUCCGUUUUUCCCAUGUAAAAGUGGGGGGCAGACUGGCUUUGUUUCAUCAUGCUUGGAAAAUUUUAACCGCAGAUGUUUGGGUAUUAAAUACGAUACAAGGGUACCUAUUGGAGUUAACCUCCCACCCGGUUCAGACACAGUUCCCUCGGGAACUAAAUAUGGCCAGCCAACACCAGAUGAUGAUCUCAACAGAGAUCACAGAGUUAGCGUCAAAAAAACGCUAUCCAACAAAUCCCAUGGGACAGAGAAGGAUUCGUGAGCAACUUGUUUCUGGUCCCCAAGAAAGGGGGCGGGGUACGCCCAGUAAUAAAUCUCCGGCCCCUAAAUGCGUUUGUCCAAUACCACCAUUUCAAAAUGGAGGGUAUUCAUUGCCUUUGGGACCUCCUCAUACCAUCGGAUUGGAUGGUCAAAAUAGAUUUACGGGAUGCUUACCUGACAAUCCCGAUCGCAGAAGCGCUACGAAACCUACUACAGUUUCAGUGGCAGGGAACGAAAUGGAGGUUUGUAUGUCUGCCAUUUGGCCUAUCCUCCGCUCCAUGGUGCUUCACAAAAGUGCUAAAACCGGUGAUUGCCUUACUGCGCACACGAGGGGUCAGAUUAAUAAUUUAUCUAGACGACAUCCUUCUUCUGUCCCAAUCUCAAUCCCAACUUCGCAUUCACCUAUCCUGGACGACCCACCUUAUCCAAAACUUAGGAUUCUUGGUGAAUUGGGAGAAAUCAAUACUGAAACCCUCCAGACAGAUGGAAUUUCUGGGUUUCCAAGUCGACUCUGUUCAACAGAGGUUGUGUCUACCCAAAGACAAAAUGAUUUAGAUCAAGAAAGAGAUCAGACGGCUUAUGCAUCGUACGACUAUUUCCCUCCGACAACUUGCGAGGAUCAUAGGGCUGUUGGCAUCGUCCAUACAGGCGAUCUUCCCAGGACCGCUACACUAUCGUGCCCUACAAAGACUCAAAGCCUCAUAUCUACGCUCCGGUCACUCAUACGAAACCUGCGUUACACUGGACAAAGACUCCAGGGAGGAACUAGACUGGUGGUUAGCACACAUGGAGGCAUGGAACGGGCGAGCGAUAUUUGGAUCGACGCCGGACCUGGUAAUAGAGUCAGACGCCAGCUUACACGGCUGGGGCGCGCAUUGCGGGUCAGUUUCCACCGGUGGCAGAUGGUCGAACAAAGAGUCCCUGUUGCACAUCAACUGCCUAGAGCUAUUAGCAGCGUCCUUUGCCAUUCGCAGUAUGGCCCCCAUAGGCAUUUCAUGCUCUAUAUUAAUCAAGAUGGACAACAUCUCAGCGGUACGUUAUAUCAACCAUCUAGAGGGGACGAAAUCGAAGGUUCUCGCAUUGAUGGCUCGAGAUUUUUGGCACAUUGCCUGAAAUACAGCAUUUCUGUAAUAGCAGAAUACAUUCCGGGGCAGGACAAUACAAUGGCGGACUGGAAUUCCCGAUACCUUCGGGACGCAGGGGAUUGGCAUCUCCACCCAAUGAUUUUCCAGCGCCUCUCUCGACUCUGGGGACCUUUCAAUAUAGACCUCUUCGCGUCUUGACUGAACACCCAGCUCCCUCGGUUCUUCAGUUGAAGACCGGAUCCAGAUGCUCUGGCAACAGAUGCAUUCCUACGGGACUGGACCAAGGGCAGGAACUACGCUUUUCCCCCGUUCAACCUCAUUUCUCGGACCCUAGCGGCCCUUCGAUAUUCCAAGGGGACGCUGGCACUGAUAACCCCGUUAUGGAGGUCACAACCUUGGUUUCCUCAAUUAUUGGAAAUGUCAAUAGAUUUCCCACAGCUGUUGCCGGACAUUCCCUACCUCUUAACCAACCCAGAGGGAAUGAGUCACGAUCUGGCCAACCAAGGCCUAUUGCAACUGAUGGCAUGGCUCAUUUCAGGAGAUCAUGGAACCUCGAGGAGGUUUCGCAGACGACACUCAGUCUCUUGGCAGAGUCGUGGGCACCUGGUACCAGACGUGCCUACGGAUCGGCUUGGAGAAAAUGGUCUGAUUGGUGCGUGGGACGGUCAAUGGAUCCCAUAUCAGCUUCUACAGAAGCAAUCCUACAAUUUCUGACUCUACUCUUUGAGGAAGGAAAAGCCUUUCGUACUAUAAAUAUGUACAGAUCGGCUAUAUCAGCGAGACAUAUGGGGUUGGAUGGCACCCCAUUAGGUAAACAUGCCCUUAUCUGUCGUUUACUCAAAGGCAUCCGUCUUACUCGACCUCCUCAAACUCGAUAUUCUUCCUUUUGGGAUGUCAAUGUGAUGUUGCGUUCUAUCGAAUCUUGGCCAAUGAACCAGGAACUUUCACUGAAGCAAUUGUCGACCAAACUGUUGAUGCUGUUUUGUUUACUUUCAUGUAAACGGGUCGCUGAUGUCAGGGCACUAGACUGGCAUGCACGUGUUUUUGUCCCAAACGGAGUAUCCUUUAAUAUUUCACGUAGAACAAAAUCCUCGACUAAGGAAGUUUUCUACCCAUCAUGGCCGGACAACCCAAAUUUGUGUCCUAUGCUAUGUCUGAAGGAAUACGAGCAUCGCACGGCAUCACUCCGUCCAGAACAAACCCAUCCACUGUUCAUCUCAUUCAAAAGACCUCACCUACCAGUAUCUACUGCUACUUUAGCUCGUUGGAUCAAAUGGUUGCUGUCGAUGGCAGGCAUAGAAACCUCAAUUUUUUCCUCACAUUCCGUUCGCGGAGCUAUGGCCUCUAAAGCUUCCGUGAUAGGUUGUAAAUUGGAGGAUAUACUACGGACAGCCGACUGGUCGAAUGAGUCUACAUUUCGUAAUUUCUAUUUCCGCCCAGUGCAACACAUUUCCAGUUCAGUGGUUGCUCAGCUUUAAAAUAGCAUAAUAGGAGCCUCUGUGUCUUUUUUCUAUGAUUCUCUUAUAAUUCCCUUUUCUGGCUGCUGGGAGUGUAAUAAAGAAAGAGAAUGCAUAAUACUCACCUCCGUGUCAUUAAUAAAAUCAUGACUUUACGUCAUGUUAAUAGUAAAAUCUGGUAAUUACAUAUUGAAAUAAAACGAUCAGUACAAUAGAAAAAAAAAUAGAUGUGUCCAGGUGUGUGCAUGUAUCAGUGUGUUUAUGUGUGUAUCUGUGUGUCAAUGUGUUAGUAUGUAUGUGCAUACAUCCAGGCGAUCAAACACACCGCUGCAAACCCAAUCAUUACAUACAAACACACCCCUGAAUACAAACUCCAAAAUUGUAUACAAACACACCCUUCACUCACCAAUACUACACACAAAUGUACAUCUGCAUUUAAAAGACACUACAUCUAAACACUCCCCUGCAUGCAAUUACAAAUGUUACAUACAAAUACACCCCUUUAUUAAAACACUUAAAUUAUAUACACCAACACCAACUUAAUACACAGAAGCCCAACUGCAUGUAACAUCCAACACUACAUACAAACACACAUCCACCCCUGCAUUCAAAUGCAAACACUACACACAAGUACACAGCUGCAUUCCAAUGGUAACAUUACAUCUACACCUCUACAUGCACACAUAUACUCUAUACAAAAACAUGCUUACAUUCAAAUUCACAAACACUGCUCACAAAUACAACCCUACAAGAAUGGCAAAAUGAUAGAUCCCCAGCUGGCAUAGCAUCGCGGAAGUUGUAAGACAGAUGGGUAUCUAUCUUUUCUCCACUCUUGCGCUAUAGGGGAGACCCAAAAAAAAUUCUUACACCACAGCCCUCUCUACAUUAGUUCCAUCAGUAGGUUGUGGUGAAGGCCGCAACUGCAUGCCUGGGAGCUAGGAGUGGGGGGAGGGGAGGGGAGGGCAGGGUACAGGGGCCCAAGCAAAUGCUUGCUCAGGGUCCAAUUGAUAUUAAAGACGGCCAUGCCCUUCUUUGGACGAGGUGGAGCGCCAACCAAUCGUUGUUCUCCCUUGGAAUUGGGUGAGUAAAUAAAAGAUUUUUAUCCCUUUACAUGCUGAGGUAAAGGGGCACGAGGGGGGGACAGAGGGCUCUAUAAUGUUAAGUAUACAGCUUUGUAUUCCUAACACUAUAGAAUCUAUAGGGUUUAGCAGCUGAGGUACAGGUGGUGACAGUCCUCACUCAAGCUACAGAACAGGAGGUGAGAGAUUCACGCCAAGACCUAAACGCACUGAAAGACACAGUCACCCAGAUGCAAGCCAUACAUUCCAAUAUUACCAGGCAAGUUAACCUGCUAGAUGACAGGGGCAGGAGGAAAAAUGUCAAGAUCAGGGGGUAUCAGAAGCAGUACCACUGGAGGAACUCCCCCACUUUAUAAGGCGCUUAGUGACCUCGCUCCUACCCAACAGGCAAACAAAACAUUUCACGUUUGAUGGCGUAUAUCGCAUCGCCAAAUCCUUGCGAGCACCAAAGACAGCUCCACGCGACCUCAUCUUGCAAUGCCAAACUCUUACGGAUAAAAUAGCCCUAAUGGCAGCCAUUAAAGGGAAAACACUCCACAACUUCGAAACGCACCAAAUCACCUUUUUCCAAGACCUGAGCAGAUUAUGGCGCAAGAGCAUGCAGCCCAUAACCACUACCCUACAAAUGGCAGGUUCCACACACAGAUGGGCAACCCCCACAACGCUCUGGGUGACCAAGGACGAUCAAUCCUACAAAAUCUCUAUCCUGGGAGAAGGUCCUGCCUUAUUAGCCACGCUGGGACUAUCCAACAGCAACACAGGGCUACCCACUACGCACCCUGGGCCCACAACCUCAGCCGAUCACACAACCAAUAUUUUGUUACUGUUUAUGUUGCUCUUAUCUCCUUAUAUUUCUGAUUUAUAGUUUGACACCCUAAGAACGCACAACACUCCCCUCACUGACGCCGAAGCACUGCCCAUCCACUUGUAGACCCACCGCAGUCUACGCUGACUGGGCAAAACCAGCUGGCUCUGGGGUGCAACACCUCCACCCCUCCAAUACCCUAGAGGGAUGGAGGAAAGCCGGGAAGGGAGUGGCGAGAGUACCCCCAACCGACAAGUACCCAAUAAAACUACCCGAAGAGGACAAACACUCUCCCUUUCCCACAAUCCUAGCAGGCGCCGCAUAGACCAUCACCACACUAGUGACACAUUUGCCUAGCAAAGAUCAAAAAACUAUCUCAUCGACACACAGCAUGGCUGAACAUAGUCCCCACAAAACAAGAGGGCAACCAACCCGCUCGUAACAUAGGCCUAUACCACCCAGGGUAACCCCAUCAGGCGGUACCAUACCCGCAACUUAUCUAUACCACUAGAAGCCCCGCCCUCUGUCCACCUAUGACGAGCCCACUUUACCAUUCCAAACACAUAGAGCCGAACAGAUCCCUAUGAUCAACUAGACCACUUCAAAAAGUGCAAACCAUCCCUAGGCCGGACAUGUCCCACACCUAUUGACUAUCGGCCUAUAUGUUAUAUGGCGUUAUGGAAAUGUUAUGACUAAUUAUUAUGUACUGAAAACAAAAUAAAGAAUUAAAAAAAAUAAUAAUUCUUCCACAGGAGCACUGAAAAGCUUAUUUCUUCCAAAUGGAAGUUCACAUAAGGCAGUCUUGGAGGCAGUGUCUGAUGACCACGAC
RNAcentral lists this long non-coding RNA (10730 nucleotides) under Pelobates cultripes (western spadefoot toad). Lineage: Eukaryota; Metazoa; Chordata; Amphibia; Anura; Pelobatidae. The record is from RNAcentral.